AUGGAAUCUCUGAGAUUUGCAAUUUGUUUGUGUUCAUUUGUAAUUUGUUUUUCUAAAACUUAUUUUAGAGGAACAAUAGGGAACCUAAAGAAGCACAAACCGCGGGUAGAUUUUCUUUCAAGAAGCCGCUUAGAAUUUCAAAGAGAGAAUUUUGUUUAUUUUUGGAGAAUUACAACACAGUUUUUUUUUCCAUAA
Non-coding RNA from Vicia faba (fava bean), 195 nucleotides. Lineage: Eukaryota; Viridiplantae; Streptophyta; Magnoliopsida; Fabales; Fabaceae. The record is from the annotation of a GenBank genome assembly.